GCACUGAUGAAGAGUCGCAAACUAGGACGAAACAGCUGUCCAGUAC
This 46-nucleotide non-coding RNA is filed under the name Trichobilharzia regenti. Lineage: Eukaryota; Metazoa; Platyhelminthes; Trematoda; Strigeidida; Schistosomatidae. The record is from RNAcentral.